AGGCCCCGCCCCCCCUUCACGGAGCUUCUCCUAGCCAGCUUUCUUGGUUGCACGUGAAGUUGUUGUAGUUCGCCCUCAUGUGACCUCGGACGUGCGGACACAUUAGGCCCCGCCUCCAAGAUGGCGGCGCCCAUAAGCAUGGGUCCGUAACCCUCCUCUGCUCAUCUGCUCAGCCCCGAUUUGUAGCUUUGACCGUGUCUGCGGGGCCAUGGAUCGGCCUGGAUUCACAACCUCGCUGGUGGCUGGUGGAGUAGCAGGUGUCUCUGUUGAUUUGAUAUUAUUUCCUCUGGAUACCAUUAAAACGAGGCUACAGAGUCCCCAAGGAUUUAAUAAGGCUGGUGGUUUUCGUGGAAUAUAUGCUGGCGUUCCUUCUGCUGCUAUCGGAUCCUUUCCUAACGCUGCUGCCUUUUUUAUCACCUAUGAAUAUGUGAAAUGGUUUUUGCACUCUGAUUCAUCUUCAUAUUUGAUGCCUGCAAAGCAUAUGUUGGCUGCCUCUGCUGGAGAAGUGGUUGCCUGCCUGAUUCGAGUUCCUUCUGAAGUAGUUAAGCAGAGGGCACAGGUUUCAGCUUCUUUGAGAACAUUUCAAAUUUUCUCAAACAUCUUAUAUCAAGAGGGUAUCCAAGGAUUGUAUCGAGGCUACAAAAGCACGGUUUUAAGAGAGAUUCCUUUCUCACUGGUCCAGUUUCCCUUGUGGGAGUCCCUAAAAGCCCUCUGGUCCUGGAGGCAGGAUCAUGUGGUGGAUUCUUGGCAGUCAGCAGUCUGUGGAGCUUUUGCAGGUGGGUUUGCAGCUGCAGUCACCACGCCUCUGGAUGUGGCAAAAACAAGAAUCAUGUUAGCAAAGGCUGGUUCCAGCACUGCUAGUGGGAAUGUACUCUCUGCCCUGCAUGGGGUCUGGCGGACACAGGGGCUGUCAGGAUUAUUUGCAGGUGUCUUUCCUCGAAUGGCAGCAAUCAGUCUGGGAGGUUUCAUCUUUCUUGGUGCUUAUGACCAAACUCGCAGCUUGCUGUUAGAACUUGGCAAAGAGAGCCCAUGAAUCACAGACGGCCCCGCAUCCACUUCUUUCAAGAAGGAAGACUGCUGUGAGAACUGUCUCCCUUCCGGGGAGCAGCUGUUCAGCCAUCUGAACAACAAAACACAGAGCUAAAAUCCAAUUCUGCUAAGAUUACGACAUGGAGAAUGUGUCUUCCAUGCUACAGGCUAGCUGGAAUGAUGUUGUUAGCCUGUUUGCCAAAAAAGAAGUGUCCAGCAGCCCAUGUGGUGUGUGAAAGAAAGCAGCUGCAGCUCGAGUGACUAGGUGUGUCCUCUGAGGAAGCUGAGCCACACUCUCCUCUUCUCCAUAUCAGACCGAAAGGAAGGGCUGGGGCCGGUUCUGCAAACAGUGCUGUUUCUUGGUCUCUAAUCAGUAAGCUCUGUUGCCUGGAGUUCUAAGCUCAACACUGGAAACAGAAGGGAUGAAAAGGGAAGGUCACCAUUUUAGAGCUUGACUAAUGAGCUCCAGGUGUUACAAAAAUUCAGAAUCUCAAGAAUCUGGUGGUGUCGUGCCUUCCCUGGAGCCAUAGUAUAUGAUUCUGCUUCGCCUAAAUUUUUUUCCUUUUUGAGACAAAAAGGUAAUUAAAGGCAGAAUGACUGCAUCUGUGAGGGGAUCUCUGGAAUUCAGUGGGAUGAAACAAUGGUGGUUAAUGUAGGUAGAAUGACUUGAGCCACACGGUUAACAUUUAUAAAUGAACCUUUAUUAAAGACACUUCAAUGCCAUUUGUUAGACACUUCAAUAUUUUACAUGUUUUUCAAUGUACAUUGUACCAAAAUUUCUAUAAAUAAAUAACUUUGUACAUAAAAGUAA
Pteropus alecto (black flying fox) is the source of this 1840-nucleotide RNA transcript. It is a transcript of the gene named solute carrier family 25 member 26, with no coding region annotated. The transcript is spliced from 11 exons. NCBI's taxonomy places the organism in Eukaryota, Metazoa, Chordata, Mammalia, Chiroptera, Pteropodidae. The record is from RefSeq and is a predicted model, not a curated record.